CCUACGGGUGGCAGCAGUGAGGAAUAUUGGUCAAUGGCCGGAAGGCUGAACCAGCCAAGCCGCGUAAGGGAGGAAGGCGCAGAGCGUCGCAGACCUCUUUUGCCGGGGGACAAAAGGCCGGACUCGUCCGGUCCUGAGGGUACCCGGCGAAAAAGCAUCGGCUAACUCCGUGCCAGCAGCCGCGGUAAUACGGAGGAUGCGAGCGUUAUCCGGAUUCAUUGGGUUUAAAGGGUGCGCAGGCGGGCCUUUAAGUCAGCGGUGAAAGUCUGUGGCUCAACCAUAGAAUUGCCGUUGAAACUGGGAGGCUUGAGUAUGUUUGAGGCAGGUGGAAUGCGUGGUGUAGCGGUGAAAUGCUUAGAUAUCACGCAGAACUCCGAUUGCGAAGGCAGCUUACUAAACUAUAACUGACACUGAAGCACGAAAGCGUGGGGAUCAAACAGGAUUAGAUACCCCAGUAGUC
Molecule: ribosomal RNA, 460 nt
Filed under: uncultured bacterium
Lineage: Bacteria
Description: partial 16S ribosomal RNA
Rfam family: Bacterial small subunit ribosomal RNA
Source: RNAcentral